UUAAAUUGUGUGUUAAACUGCAUCUAUGUAUAGGUUUUCUUCUUUAGGAUUAUGGCCUUGAGUCAGGGCUGCUUUAGGAGUGAAUGGUAUGAGAGAGUGUAACCUUUUGUUGCUCUCUCUAAAAAGGAAUGACCUCACAUACAUGCAGGAAAUAAGCUAUACCUGGUUAUUCAGAAAAUACUUUAUGUAGUGUCUGUAUUGUUCUGUUAAACUUUCUAUGUGUAUGCAUAUAUGGUCCCUUUCUUUUAGCCUUUAUUGAUUGUGCAGAAGGGUAACCUGAGCUUUAAGGUCUGGCCUCAAGCCAGAAGGAAUGCAUAGAAUGUCCUUGUAGCUCUCUGGCUUGCCAUAUAAGGAAUGACCAUAUGUUUAGCUGUAGGUUAGGAGGCUGAAGUUUGUUUUUAUAACCAUAUAUGGAAGUUAGGAUGUGGGGGUUGCCAACACUACACUAUAUAACUCUUGCAAGUCCCUUUGUCUCAUGAGCUAGGGCGAUUAGAGACUUACCCUCUCCCAGGUCGCAAAGGAAAGCGCCUGUUUUGACACUGUCUGUUUCUUUGCAAUAAACUUUUGUAUAUAUGCAUUAAGACAUUUGUCAGCGAGGAUUUUUUCCCAAGAACACAUCACUGAAUACACCUUAAAUUUUGGCGUCACGGAUUGAGACAGCUUGUGAUGACUGCAGCCUGACGACUCGACGGUCCAGCUUUCUGCUCAGAGGCCAGUAAAGAGGUGAGAGAGAGAGAGACCAAGGGGGGGUGAGCUGAGCUGAGUGAAUCCAGAUGUGCCUGGACUGAAUAGCCCUGCAAGCUGACUUCAGCAAAAGGCCAGUGUUUGUUUUUUCUUGUCAAUCAAACUCCUUUGAUAAAACACCACUUUCUAAAGUUCUUUAAACACACUUAUUUUGCCUUCAUUUAUAUACUAUAUAGGCACAUACUUUGGUUUGGUGUUUUAUACAAUAUAUUUGCUUUCAUUCUUUGCACAGACUUGGCACAGAUUGACCGUAUAUUAGUGAACACAGUUUGAAUUAGUUAUUAAAAGUCCAUAGGUCUUGAAUUUGAUUUAUCUUGUAUUGUGUUUGAGUAUUUUGGUGUUUCAUAUAAUAUUUGUUUACUGGUUUGACAAAUUUAUACAGCAUUUUGACGAAUUUGUUUCACAAAAGACCGCGUGUCAAGUGAAAUUUUUCGCAACAGCAGGCUUGCUGUUUCUUCUGGUGUUGGCAAACUUAUCUUUACUAAUUGUGCUACAAUUAUUAGCAUUAAAUAAGGUUGAUGAUAUUAAUCGCAUAACUGAAUAAAUAAAUAAAUAGAUUAUUAAUAAAAAAAAAAAAAAA
Archocentrus centrarchus (flier cichlid) is the source of this 1324-nucleotide long non-coding RNA. RefSeq lists it as uncharacterized. The record is from RefSeq and is a predicted model, not a curated record. NCBI's taxonomy places the organism in Eukaryota, Metazoa, Chordata, Actinopteri, Cichliformes, Cichlidae. The transcript is spliced from 2 exons.